AGAAAUUCCGGCUUCGGUCGGGAGAGUAAAGUGGCGCACGGGUGAGUAACGCGUGGGUAACCUGCCUAUUAAUCUGGGAUAACUUCGCGAAAGCGUUGCUAAUACCGGAUAUUGUUCUUUGAACCCCGGUUUGAAGAAUGAAAGAUGACCUCUUCAUGAAAGUUGUCGUUAGUAGUGGGGCCCGCGUACCAUUAGCUAGUUGGUAGGGUAACGGCCUACCAAGGCUAUGAUGGUUAGCUGGUCUGAGAGGAUGGCCAGCCACACUGGAACUGGAACACGGUCCAGACUCCUACGGGAGGCAGCAGUGAGGAAUUUUGCCCAAUGGGGGAAACCCUGAGGCAGCAACGCCGCGUGAGUGAAGAAGGCCUUCGGGUCGUAAAGCUCUGUCAAGUGGGAAAAAGAUUUUACGGUAAAUAGCCGUGAAAUUUGAUGGUACCGCUGGAGGAAGCACCGGCUAACUCCGUGCCAGCAGCCGCGGUAAUACGGAGGGUGCUAGCGUUAUUCGGAAUUAUUGGGCGUAAAGCGCGUGCAGGCGGCUUGGCAAGUCAGAUGUGAAAGCCCUGGGCUCAACCCAGGAAGUGCAUUUGAAACUAUCAAGCUUGAGUAUGGGAGAGGAGAGUGGAAUUCCCAGUGUAGAGGUGAAAUUCGUAGAUAUUGGGAGGAACACCCGUGGCGAAGGCGACUCUCUGGACCAAUACUGACGCUGAGACGCGAAAGCGUGGGGAGCAAACAGGAUUAGAUACCCUGGUAGUCCACGCCUUAAACGAUGAGAACUAGGUGUAGCGGGUAUUGACCCCUGCUGUGCCGUAGCAAACGCAUUAAGUUCUCCGCCUGGGGAGUACGGUCGCAAGGCUAAAACUCAAAGGAAUUGACGGGGGCCCGCACAAGCGGUGGAGCAUGUGGUUUAAUUCGACGCAACGCGAAGAACCUUACCUGGAUUUGACAUCCUUUGACGGUCCUAGAAAUAGGAUCUUUCCUGCUUGCAGGAACAAAGAGACAGGUGCUGCAUGGCUGUCGUCAGCUCGUGUCGUGAGAUGUUGGGUUAAGUCCCGCAACGAGCGCAACCCUUGUCUUUAGUUGCCCUUAUUCAGUUAGGCACUCUAAGAUACUGCCUCGGUUAACGAGGAGGAAGGUGGGGAUGACGUCAAGUCCUCAUGGCCUUUAUAUCCAGGGCUACACACGUGCUACAAUGGGCUGUACAAAGAGUCGCAAAUCCGCGAGGAUAAGCUAAUCUCAAAAAGCAGCUCUCAGUUCGGAUCGGAGUCUGCAACUCGACUCCGUGAAGUUGGAAUCGCUAGUAAUCGUGGAUCAGCAUGCCACGGUGAAUACGUUCCCGGGCCUUGUACACACCGCCCGUCGCACCACGAAAGUCGAUUGUACCAGAAGUUGCUGGGCUAACCCGCAAGGGAGGCAGGCACCUAAGGUACGAUUGGUGAUUGGGGUGAAGUCGAAACAAGGUA
This 1460-nucleotide ribosomal RNA is filed under the name metagenome. RNAcentral's name for it is "bacterial SSU rRNA". It matches the Rfam family "Bacterial small subunit ribosomal RNA". The record is from RNAcentral.